This 490-nucleotide ribosomal RNA is filed under the name uncultured bacterium. RNAcentral's name for it is "partial 16S ribosomal RNA". It matches the Rfam family "Bacterial small subunit ribosomal RNA", at positions 28 to 523 of the family's 1533-position model. The record is from RNAcentral.
GACGAACGCUGGCGGCGUGCUUAACACAUGCAAGUCGAGCGGUAAGGCUCCUUCGGGAGUACACGAGCGGCGAACGGGUGAGUAACACGUGAGUAAUCUGCCCCGCACUUCGGGAUAAGCGCCGGAAACGGCGUCUAAUACCGAAUACGACCAGCCUUCGCAUGAGGUGCUGGUGGAACGUCUUAUCGGGGAGGGAUGUGCUCGCGGCCUAUCAGCUUGUUGGUGCGGUAACGGCACACCAAGGCUUCGACGGGUAGCCGGCCUGAGAGGGUGACCGGCCACACUGGGACUGAGACAAGGCCCAGACUCCUACGGGAGGCAGCAGUGGGGAAUAUUGGACAAUGGGCGAAAGCCUGAUCCAGCAACGCCGCGUGAGGGAUGACGGCCUUCGGGUUGUAAACCUCUUUCAGUAUCGACGAAGCGCCUUUAACGGUGGUGACGGUAGAUACAGAAGAAGGACCGGCCAACUACGUGCCAGCCGCCGCGGUAA